Hordeum vulgare subsp. vulgare (domesticated barley) is the source of this 184-nucleotide long non-coding RNA. RefSeq lists it as uncharacterized. NCBI's taxonomy places the organism in Eukaryota, Viridiplantae, Streptophyta, Magnoliopsida, Poales, Poaceae. The transcript is spliced from 3 exons. The record is from RefSeq and is a predicted model, not a curated record.
GUAUCCUGAGAUAGAAGAGGAAGAAGAAGGUGAGAUAGAGUAUGUUGAAGGUGAUGAUAUCGAGAUGGGUGACAUGGAUGAUAUGGAAGAUUUUGAAGGCUUUGGUGAUGAAGAUGGUGGAAGAAGACGAGGACAGGGGUAGCAGGCAAAGGACGCGAAUGUGAUUCUCCAGGCAAGGCUUCAG